UAGUGUGAGCGGUAGAGGAGCGUCGUAAUCGGGCUGAAGUCGUACCGUAAGGAGCGGUGGACUGAUUACGAGUGAGAAUGUUGGCAUUAGUAGCGAGAUGUGGGUGAGAAUCCCACAGGCCGAAUACCUAAGGUUUCCUCAGGAAGGUUCGUCCGCUGAGGGUUAGUCGGGACCUAAGCUGAGGCCGAAAGGCGUAAGCGAUGGACAAUCGGUUGAUAUUCCGAUACCACUAUUAUCGUUAUUAUCGAUGGUGUGACGGAGAAGGAUAGGAUGUGCUAGCUAUUGGAUGCUAGUCUAAGCGUUUAGGGAGUUAGGAUAGGCAAAUCCGUUCUAACAAUUCUGAGGCGUGAUGGGGAAGGUUCUAAGGAACCGAAGUAUCUGAUUCCAUGCUUCCAAGAAAAGCAUCUAGAAAGAGAAAUAGUGCCCGUACCGCAAACCGACACAGGUAGGUGAGGAGAGAAUCCUAAGGCCGGCGGAAGAAUUGCAGUUAAGGAACUAGGCAAAUUGACCCCGUAACUUCGGGAGAAGGGGUGCCUGCGAGAGCAGGCCGCAGAGAAUAGGCACAAGCAACUGUUUAACAAAAACACAGGUCUCUGCUAAAGCGAAAGCUGAUGUAUAGGGGCUGACGCCUGCCCGGUGCUGGAAGGUUAAGGGGAACACUUAGCGUAAGCGAAGGUGUGAACUUAAGCCCCAGUAAACGGCGGCCGUAACUAUAACGGUCCUAAGGUAGCGAAAUUCCUUGUCAGGUAAGUUCUGACCCGCACGAAUGGCGUAAUGACUUGUGCACUGUCUCAACUGCAAAUCCGGCGAAGUUGUAGUGCGAGUGAAGAUGCUCGCUACCCGCGAUUGGACGGAAAGACCCCGUAGAGCUUUACUGUAGCUUAGCAUUGAAUUUCGGUAUUGUCUGUACAGGAUAGGUGGGAGACUGGGAAAUCAGAGCGUCAGCUUUGAUGGAGUCAUCCUUGGGAUACCACCCUGAUAGUACUGGAAUUCUAACUGGAUGCCAUGAAUCUGGUGACAGGACAUUGUUAGGUGGGCAGUUUGACUGGGGCGGUCGCCUCCUAAAAAGUAACGGAGGCGCCCAAAGGUUCCCUCAGAACGGUCGGAAAUCGUUCGUAGAGUGCAAAGGCAUAAGGGAGCCUGACUGCGAGACCUACAAGUCGAGCAGGGACGAAAGUCGGGCUUAGUGAUCCGGUGGUACCUCGUGGGAGGGCCAUCGCUCAACGGAUAAAAGCUACCUCGGGGAUAACAGGCUGAUCUCCCCCAAGAGUUCACAUCGACGGGGAGGUUUGGCACCUCGAUGUCGGCUCGUCGCAUCCUGGGGCUGAAGUAGGUCCCAAGGGUUGGGCUGUUCGCCCAUUAAAGCGGCACGCGAGCUGGGUUCAGAACGUCGUGAGACAGUUCGGUCCCUAUCCGUCGCGGGCGCAGGAAAUUUGAGAAGAGCUGUCCUUAGUACGAGAGGACCGGGAUGGACCGACCUAUGGUGUACCAGUUGUUUCGCCAGAAGCAUAGCUGGGUAGCUAAGUCGGGACGGGAUAAACGCUGAAAGCAUCUAAGCGUGAAGCCUCCUUCAAGAUGAGAUUUCCCAUAGCGUAAGCUAGUAAGACCCCUUGAAGACUACAAGGUUGAUAGGUCAGAGGUGUAAGUGUGGCAACAUAUUUAGCUGACUGAUACUAAUAGGUCGAGGGCUUGACCAAU
This 1698-nucleotide ribosomal RNA is filed under the name Clostridium botulinum. RNAcentral describes it as "partial 23S ribosomal RNA". It matches the Rfam family "Bacterial large subunit ribosomal RNA", at positions 1217 to 2925 of the family's 2925-position model. The record is from RNAcentral. Lineage: Bacteria; Bacillati; Bacillota; Clostridia; Eubacteriales; Clostridiaceae.